GAUGAACGCUAGCGGGAGGCCUAACACAUGCAAGCCGAGCGGUAGAGUCUCUUCGGAGACCUGAGAGCGGCGCACGGGUGCGGAACACGUGUGCAACCUGCCUUUAUCUGGGGGAUAGCCUUUCGAAAGGAAGAUUAAUACUCCAUAAUAUACUGGUUGGCAUCAUCUGGUAUUGAAAAUUCCGGUGGAUAGUGAUGGGCAUGCGCAAGAUUAGAUAGUUGGUUAGGUAACUGCUCACCAAGUCAGCGAUCCUUAGGGGGCCUGAGAGGGUGAUCCACCACACUGGUACUGAGACACGGACCAGAGUCCUACGGAAGGCAGCAGAGAGGAACGUGAGGCAAUAGGUGAGAACCUGAUACAGCCGGCCCGCGUGAAAGACGACGGCGCUGUGGGAGGUAAACUGCUUUUGGAGAGGGAUAAACCUAGUAACGUGGAUCUAGCUGAAGGUACUAGACGAAUAAGCCCCGGCUAACUCCGUG
This 479-nucleotide ribosomal RNA is filed under the name uncultured bacterium. Its description in RNAcentral is "partial 16S ribosomal RNA". It matches the Rfam family "Bacterial small subunit ribosomal RNA", at positions 28 to 507 of the family's 1533-position model. The record is from RNAcentral.